Schistocerca cancellata (South American locust) is the source of this 1099-nucleotide long non-coding RNA. RefSeq lists it as uncharacterized. The transcript is spliced from 2 exons. The record is from RefSeq and is a predicted model, not a curated record. Lineage: Eukaryota; Metazoa; Arthropoda; Insecta; Orthoptera; Acrididae.
UUCUCACACUCCGAUGUCAGGACAAUAACGCUGAAAGCAUUUGAAAUUUAUCAAUUCUCACUCUAGCAGAAGGUAGUUUCGGAAUUUGUCGAUUAUUACAAAUGAGGCCUUAUCACUGAAGUUUGUAACAUUCGAUAUCAGCGGAUAACUGCCAUUAAGCUACACGAAAAAGCUCUCAGCUCUACAGUCUGAGUCUGACCGACUCGUCCGACGAGCGACUGUCGGCGGCACUGCGAUCGCAGGCCCCUCACGGUGUGCGCUUACUCGGGCAAGUGUCGUGGGGAUUUGUUAAUGUAGAGGCUGACUGUACGCUGUAGGUGUCUGCAGACUUCCAUCGUUAGAGGAACAGUUCUAUGAACAGUACAUGCCAUUCUCGGGAGUGUGGACCACUUCGUUGGUUACUAGAGUUCCUCAUCUGUCCCCAAAACUGUCAUUUACUGCAGCUAGGCAUUUAGCACUAAUAAAAUGUGAGUUACAUAAAAUGGAAGUGUCCGACAUAUCAGCAGCCGUGAAGAUAUGAAAAUUUAAAGGUAGCUCCAUUUUGAGCAGUACAAACUUUAAUAGAUGCAAUAAUUCUAAUUUGUUAAUCCUGUGGUGUAGUCCACGUACUGUGUGAAAGUGACUUGUCAACAUAUGAUCAAAGAACAUUUAUUAUAAACUUUCCUGGUGAUCUCAGUGAACUGCAUUUGGUAAUAUCAAGACCUAUGGACUGGUCAAGAGACUUACUCAGUUAUAAUGCAUAAUAUAAACAAACACAGGCACAAAAGUUUUAUAUGUAUAUCUAACCAAUUGUAUAAGAAAUCUUUAAAUAAGAAUGUAAAAUGACUGUGUAAACUGUGUGACUAGUAAUAAUUGAAGGUUAUUGGCAACGAAAUGUUGUUGUAAGCUUGUAGUGUAUCUUACGGAAUAUGCCCAUGACACAGUCAAGUCCUAGGAGCAAUACACAUUGGGUUCAGAGCUGGCUAGAAAUAACUUUUUCAGUUAUUUUGAAAUUUAACUUAGUCAUCUGCCAGAAUGCCUACGAUGUUGGGGGCUGGAAUAAAUCUGCAGUAACUCAUUUUAUGUUGUAAAAGGCAAAUAAAAGGUGUCUUAUACCUAG